GACAGAGGUGCCAAGCGUUAGGCGGAAUCACUGGGCUUAAAGCGUGUGUAGGCGGAUCGUUAAGUACCUUGUGAAAUCCCACGGCUCAACCGUGGAACUGCUGGGUAUAUUGGCGAUCUUGAGCCACCUAGGGGCGAGCGGAACAAGCGGUGGAGCGGUGAAAUGCGUAGAUAUCGCGUGGAACGCCGACGGUGAAAACAGCUCGCUGGGGGUGUGCUGACGCUGAGACACGAAAGCCAGGGGAGCGAACGGG
This 253-nucleotide ribosomal RNA is filed under the name uncultured bacterium. RNAcentral's name for it is "partial 16S ribosomal RNA". It matches the Rfam family "Bacterial small subunit ribosomal RNA", at positions 524 to 776 of the family's 1533-position model. The record is from RNAcentral.